This 442-nucleotide ribosomal RNA is filed under the name uncultured bacterium. RNAcentral describes it as "partial 16S ribosomal RNA". It matches the Rfam family "Bacterial small subunit ribosomal RNA", at positions 338 to 795 of the family's 1533-position model. The record is from RNAcentral.
CCUACGGGAGGCUGCAGUAGGGAAUCUUUCACAAUGGACGAAAGCCUGAUGGAGCAACGCCGCGUGCAGGAUGAAGGCCUUCUGGUUGUAAACUUCUUUUAUAAGCGAGAUAUAUGCUGGUAACUUAUGCAUACUGAUCGGCUCAAUACGUUCCAGCAGCCGCGGUCCUACGUAGGAUCCGAGCAUUAUCCGGAGUGACUGGGGGUAAAGAGUUGCUGAGGUGGCAUAAUAAGUAGCGAGUGAAAUCUGGUGGCUCAACCAUUCAGACUAUUAGCGAAACUGUUAAGCUAGAGACCGGUAGGGGUAAGUGGAAUUUAUGGUGUAGGAGUGAAAUCCGUAGAGAUUAGAAGGAACACCGAUAGCGAAGGCAGGUUACUGGGACGGGUCUGACACUAAGGCACGAAAGCGUAGGGAGCAAACGGGAUUAGAUACCCGAGUAGUC